CAGAACAUAGCUUAAACAGAAAAGCACCUCCCUUACACCGAGAAGACAUUUGUGCAAACCAAAUUGCUCUGA
RNAcentral lists this transfer RNA (72 nucleotides) under Pao palembangensis (humpback puffer). RNAcentral's name for it is "tRNA-Val". It matches the Rfam family "tRNA". Rfam says of the family: Transfer RNA (tRNA) molecules are approximately 80 nucleotides in length. Their secondary structure includes four short double-helical elements and three loops (D, anti-codon, and T loops). The record is from RNAcentral. Lineage: Eukaryota; Metazoa; Chordata; Actinopteri; Tetraodontiformes; Tetraodontidae.